This 648-nucleotide ribosomal RNA is filed under the name Citrobacter sp. HPC 1201. RNAcentral's name for it is "bacterial SSU rRNA". It matches the Rfam family "Bacterial small subunit ribosomal RNA", at positions 59 to 704 of the family's 1533-position model. The record is from RNAcentral. Lineage: Bacteria; Pseudomonadati; Pseudomonadota; Gammaproteobacteria; Enterobacterales; Enterobacteriaceae.
AAGUGGUCCUAGCCCGGGGAGGUUGUAAGCUUGCUCCUUGGGUGACGAGUGGCGGACGGGUGAGUAAUGUCUGGGAAACUGCCCGAUGGAGGGGGAUAACUACUGGAAACGGUAGCUAAUACCGCAUAACGUCGCAAGACCAAAGAGGGGGACCUUCGGGCCUCUUGCCAUCGGAUGUGCCCAGAUGGGAUUAGCUAGUAGGUGGGGUAACGGCUCACCUAGGCGACGAUCCCUAGCUGGUCUGAGAGGAUGACCAGCCACACUGGAACUGAGACACGGUCCAGACUCCUACGGGAGGCAGCAGUGGGGAAUAUUGCACAAUGGGCGCAAGCCUGAUGCAGCCAUGCCGCGUGUAUGAAGAAGGCCUUCGGGUUGUAAAGUACUUUCAGCGAGGAGGAAGGUGUUGUGGUUAAUAACCGCAGCAAUUGACGUUACUCGCAGAAGAAGCACCGGCUAACUCCGUGCCAGCAGCCGCGGUAAUACGGAGGGUGCAAGCGUUAAUCGGAAUUACUGGGCGUAAAGCGCACGCGGGCGGUCUGUCAAGUCGGAUGUAAAUCCCCGGGCUCAACCUGGGAACUGCAUCCGAAACUGGCCGGUAAUCUUGAGGGGGGUAGAAUUCCGGUGUGCGGUGAAUGCUCAAUCUGGGGA